Molecule: ribosomal RNA, 521 nt
Filed under: uncultured bacterium
Lineage: Bacteria
Description: bacterial SSU rRNA
Rfam family: Bacterial small subunit ribosomal RNA
Source: RNAcentral
GGCCGCGUCGACGGACGAACGCUGGCGGCGUGCCUAAUACAUGCAAGUAGAACACUGAAGGAGGAGCUUGCUCUUCUGGAUGAGUUGCGAACGGGUGAGUAACGCGUAGGUAACCUGCCUGGUAGCGGGGGAUAACUAUUGGAAACGAUAGCUAAUACCGCAUAACAUUGACUAUUGCAUGAUAGUCAAUUGAAAGGUGCAAAUGCACCACUAUCAGAUGGACCUGCGUUGUAUUAGCUAGUUGGUGGGGUAACGGCUCACCAAGGCGACGAUACAUAGCCGACCUGAGAGGGUGAUCGGCCACACUGGGACUGAGACACGGCCCAGACUCCUACGGGAGGCAGCAGUAGGGAAUCUUCGGCAAUGGACGGAAGUCUGACCGAGCAACGCCGCGUGAGUGAAGAAGGUUUUCGGAUCGUAAAGCUCUGUUGUAAGAGAAGAACGAGUGUGAGAGUGGAAAGUUCACACUGUGACGGUAUCUUACCGAGAAAGGGACGGCUAACUACGUGCCAGCAGCCCGG